AUCCUGGCUCAGAACUAACGCUGGCGGCGCGCUUAACACAUGCAAGUCGAGCGAGAACGUGAACCUUCGGGUUCGCAAGUACAGCGGCGCACGGGUGAGUAACGCGUGAGUAACCUGCCCCUAAGCUUGGGAUAACAUCGCGAAAGUGGUGCUAAUACCGGAUAAGACCACGAAUACUUCGGGAUAUGUGGUAAAAGUUUGCCUAUUCAUGAAAGCUGACGCUUAGGGAGGGGCUCGCGUUCCAUUAGCUUGUUGGUGGGGUUAUGGCCUACCAAGGCGACGAUGGAUAGCUGGUCUGAGAGGACGAUCAGUCACACUGGAACUGAAACACGGUCCAGACUCCUACGGGAGGCAGCAGUGAGGAAUCUUGCGCAAUGGGGGCAACCCUGACGCAGCGACGCCGCGUGUGUGAUGAAGGCCUUCGGGUCGUAAAGCACUGUCAAGCGGGAAGAACGCUCGUACGUUUAACAGGCGUACUUGUUGACGGUACCGCUGGAGGAAGCACCGGCUAACUCCGUGCCAGCAGCCGCGGNUAAUACGGAGGGUGCCAGCGUUGUUCGGAAUCACUGGGCGUAAAGGGCGCGCAGGCGGUUUGGUCAGUCAGAUGUGAAAGNCCUGGGCUCAACCCAGGAAGUGCANUUGAUACUGUCAUUCNUGAGUACGGGAGAGGGAAGCGGAAUUCCGAGUGUAGAGGUGAUAUUCGUAGAUAUUCGGAGGAACACCGGUGGCGAAGGCGGCUUCCUGGACCGAUACUGACGCUGANGCGCGAAAGCGUGGGUAGCAAACAGGAUUAGAUACCCUGGUAGUCCACGCCGUAAACGGUGAGAACUAGGUGUAGCGGGUAUUGACCCCUGCUGUGCCGUAGCUAACGCAUUAAGUUCUCCGCCUGGGGAGUACGGCCGCAGGGUUGAAACUCAAAGGAAUUGACGGGGGCCCGCACAAGCGGUGGAGCAUGUGGUUUAAUUCGACGCAACGCGUAGAACCUUACCUGGCCUUGACAUCCCCUGACAUCCAUAGAAAUAUGGCUUUCCCUUUUGGGACAGGGUGACAGGUGUUGCAUGGCUGUCGUCAGCUCGUGUCGUGAGAUGUUGGGUUAAGUCCCGCAACGAGCGCAACCCUUAUCUUUAGUUGCCACCAUUGAGUUGGGCACUCUAGAGAGACUGCCUGGGUUAACCAGGAGGAAGGCGGGGACGACGUCAAGUCAUCAUGGCCCUUAUGGCCAGGGCUACACACGUGCUCAAUGGCCGGUACAAAGGGUCGCGAUACCGCAAGGUGGAGCCAAUCCCAAAAAGCCGGUCUCAGUCCGGAUUGGAGUCUGCAACUCGACUCCAUGAAGUUGGAAUCGCUAGUAAUCGCGGAUCAGCAUGCCGCGGUGAAUACGUUCCCGGGCCUUGUACACACCGCCCGUCACACCACGAAAGCUGGUUGUACCAGAAGCCGUUGGGCUAACCCCCGGGAAGCAGACGUCUAAGGUAUGAUUGGUGAUUGGGGUGAAGUCGUAACAAGGUAGCCGUAGGGGA
Molecule: ribosomal RNA, 1520 nt
Filed under: uncultured bacterium
Lineage: Bacteria
Description: bacterial SSU rRNA
Rfam family: Bacterial small subunit ribosomal RNA
Source: RNAcentral